AUAUUUCAACAGGUUGAACAUCUGAGAAAAAUAUUAGCAUCAUGACGCAAUAUGUUGACAGAAACCAGGUGUUAAAAACCACCAAGGUGCGAACAUCGCUGAAGAAUGAUGGCAGCUGGAUCCAAAGCUCUGCACAGGAAAAGGAAGAGCGAGACAAAGCAGAGACGGACCUCGGUGAGGAGACCACACCCGCGGAAGUCAAGCAGAAGUCAUACGUCCUCUCCACGGCCAAGAUAUUUGAGUGAGUGCUACAGUAUGAAUAUUCAGAUUUGAACGUUAUCGGUGUUCUUGACUUAUUUAAA
Hippoglossus stenolepis (Pacific halibut) is the source of this 302-nucleotide long non-coding RNA. RefSeq lists it as uncharacterized. Lineage: Eukaryota; Metazoa; Chordata; Actinopteri; Pleuronectiformes; Pleuronectidae. The transcript is spliced from 3 exons. The record is from RefSeq and is a predicted model, not a curated record.